UUCGCGAGCGCCCGACCUCCCAACCCUGUGUCUAUGUUACCUCUAGUUGCUUCGGUGGGCCGGCCGUUUCUGUCUCGCGCAGGACGGCCGCCUGGUCUUCACCGACCGGGAGAGCCGCCCGCCGAUGGCCUACACAAAACUCUUGAUACCAAACCAUGUCGUCUGAAUAUUUGUGAUUUAUAAUCAAAACAAAACUUUCAACAACGGAUCUCUUGGUUCUGGCAUCGAUGAAGAACGCAGCGAAAUGCGAUAAGUAAUGCGAAUUGCAGAAUUUCCGUGAGUCAUCGAAUCUUUGAACGCACAUUGCGCCCACUGGUAUUCCGGUGGGCAUGCCUGUUCGAGCGUCAUUAUCCUCUCUCAAGCCUUCUGGUUUGCUGUUGGACCCGCGUUGCCGCCCCCGUGCGCAACUGGUCUCAAAGACAAUGACGGCGUCCGUGGGGACCCUCUUCGCAACGAGCUUCUUCGGAGCACGCGUCGAGUUUCAAGGACCCUGUGGGCCGGUCUAACCAUUUAAUUUUACAAGGUUGACCUCGGAUCAGGUAGGAAUACCCGCUGAACUUAAGCAUAUCAAU
Molecule: ribosomal RNA, 572 nt
Filed under: uncultured fungus
Lineage: Eukaryota; Fungi
Description: eukaryotic LSU rRNA
Rfam family: 5.8S ribosomal RNA (bases 193-347)
Source: RNAcentral